GGCGCUAUCGUCUAGGGGUCUAGGACAGGUGGUUCUCAGCCAUCAGACCGGGGUUCGAAUCCCCGUAGCGCUACCA
This 76-nucleotide transfer RNA is filed under the name Gammaproteobacteria bacterium. RNAcentral's name for it is "tRNA-Glu". It matches the Rfam family "tRNA". Rfam says of the family: Transfer RNA (tRNA) molecules are approximately 80 nucleotides in length. Their secondary structure includes four short double-helical elements and three loops (D, anti-codon, and T loops). Lineage: Bacteria; Pseudomonadati; Pseudomonadota; Gammaproteobacteria. RNAcentral also lists the same sequence under 4 other names. The record is from RNAcentral.